Molecule: ribosomal RNA, 301 nt
Filed under: uncultured bacterium
Lineage: Bacteria
Description: partial 16S ribosomal RNA
Rfam family: Bacterial small subunit ribosomal RNA
Source: RNAcentral
CAGUCGCCGCGGUAACACGUAGGUGGCAAGCGUUGUCCGGAAUUAUUGGGCGUAAAGGGCUCGCAGGCGGUUUCUUAAGUCUGAUGUGAAAGCCCCCGGCUCAACCGGGGAGGGUCAUUGGAAACUGGGAAACUUGAGUGCAGAAGAGGAGAGUGGAAUUCCACGUGUAGCGGUGAAAUGCGUAGAGAUGUGGAGGAACACCAGUGGCGAAGGCGACUCUCUGGUCUGUAACUGACGCUGAGGAGCGAAAGCGUGGGGAGCGAACAGGAUUAGAUACCCCUGUAGUCCCUGUCUCUUAUAC